GACGAACCUUGCAAACGUUAUUCGGAAUUACUGGGCUUAAAGGGUGCGUAGGCUGUGCAGAAAGUCAGGUGUGAAAUACCUCAGCUUAACUGAGGAAUUGCGCCCGAAACUACUGUGCUAGAGGAAGACAGAGGUAAGCGGAACUUAGGGUGGAGCGGUGAAAUGCGUUGAUAUCCUAAGGAACACCGGUGGCGAAAGCGGCUUACUGGGUCUUAUCUGACGCUGAUGCACGAAAGCUAGGGUAGCGAACGGG
Molecule: ribosomal RNA, 253 nt
Filed under: uncultured bacterium
Lineage: Bacteria
Description: partial 16S ribosomal RNA
Rfam family: Bacterial small subunit ribosomal RNA
Source: RNAcentral